CCUACGGGAGGCAGCAGUGGGGAAUCUUGCGCAAUGGGCGAAAGCCUGACGCAGCCAUGCCGCGUGAAUGAUGAAGGUCUUAGGAUUGUAAAAUUCUUUCACCGGGGACGAUAAUGACGGUACCCGGAGAAGAAGCCCCGGCUAACUUCGUGCCAGCAGCCGCGGUAAUACGAAGGGGGCUAGCGUUGCUCGGAAUUACUGGGCGUAAAGGGCGCGUAGGCGGACAUUUAAGUCAGGGGUGAAAUCCCAGAGCUCAACUCUGGAACUGCCUUUGAUACUGGGUGUCUUGAGUGUGAGAGAGGUAUGUGGAACUCCGAGUGUAGAGGUGAAAUUCGUAGAUAUUCGGAAGAACACCAGUGGCGAAGGCGACAUACUGGCUCAUUACUGACGCUGAGGCGCGAAAGCGUGGGGAGCAAACAGGAUUAGAUACCCUGGUAGUCCACGCCGUAAACGAUGAUUGCUAGUUGUCGGGCUGCAUGCAGUUCGGUGACGCAGCUAACGCAUUAAGCAAUCCGCCUGGGGAGUACGGUCGCAAGAUUAAAACUCAAAGGAAUUGACGGNGUGAGACGCGCGAGACGACGACGAGGGAGAGG
RNAcentral lists this ribosomal RNA (593 nucleotides) under uncultured bacterium. Its description in RNAcentral is "bacterial SSU rRNA". It matches the Rfam family "Bacterial small subunit ribosomal RNA", at positions 338 to 950 of the family's 1533-position model. The record is from RNAcentral.